This is a long non-coding RNA of Cavia porcellus (domestic guinea pig), 759 nucleotides long. RefSeq lists it as uncharacterized. The record is from RefSeq and is a predicted model, not a curated record. NCBI's taxonomy places the organism in Eukaryota, Metazoa, Chordata, Mammalia, Rodentia, Caviidae. The transcript has 3 exons.
UUUCUUUUUUUUUUUGUCUUUUUGAGACAGGGCUAUGAAAGGCAGUCCAGGCUGGCCUUGAACUGCCAAUGAUCCUUCUGUCUCAGAUUCCUGAGUCCUGGGAUUAUAGGCGUGCACCUCUGCACGCACCCACGCCCAGUUUGAGAAAGCAUAAAUUUUAGAGUAAGGAGGCGUUCAAAGGGCGUUGAAGCCUGCCUUGAAACAGGGAUCGGAACCUCUGACCUUCCUGACAGCCGGAGCCAGUGUUACAGAUGGAGACAAACAUGAACGCGUGAAUAAGAGGCAAGAUCAAACGAGGUGGAUCAUAGCAUGGCGGCAGCACAGAGCUGCCAAAUGAAGCUUCCUGGCCACAUGAGUUUGGCUACAGUAUUAAGAGUAGGUCUACAGCCUAUCAGAUGACGGGGAUCUGUGCCCAACGUUUAUGACAAAAUUCAAAUGAUUCCAGAGGUCGUGCAGGUUUCCAGGCAAAAAUAUGCACCAGACACCAGUGUGUGGAACAGGCUCCUGAUCAUGAGGGCAGCGAAGUUCUCCUGGUGUGUUGCCUGAGGUGCUUCUCCCUCAUCCCAGCCUUCCCUCCAGAGUCCUUUUCUCAUCAGUCAAUCCCAUGGUCCUUGCCUGGAAGAGAGAUUCUGCAGAAAAUGAAAGAAAUGCUGUUAAUAAUGUGCUAUGCUUUUCAAAGGCCUAACCCUCAGGAGCAACAAGGAGCACCCACAUGGAGACUCCCUGGUUGUGCUUAGGCAACAUUCAAUAAAAAGAACA